Molecule: long non-coding RNA, 1036 nt
Organism: Saccostrea cuccullata (small rock oyster)
Lineage: Eukaryota; Metazoa; Mollusca; Bivalvia; Ostreida; Ostreidae
Exons: 3
Source: RefSeq, a predicted model, not a curated record
CAGAUACUUCAAUAAUAAAGAAUGGGUGAAAAAAAUUUCACAUUAUCAUGCUGCAUAAUAGUACAUUUCAGCUGUAACAAAACAAAUUGAUGAAAGCUUCAACCACGAGAAUCUAGGAAAGGAUGUCAAGUCCAAAGAGAAGGCCAUAUAACAAAUGGUUGCUGAAUUCAUGAAGACUAGCUGGGAUGAUACAGUACUUUUCUACUCAUAUGAACCAUAUCUAAACAUCAUUUGAGGAUCCCUUUCUCAGAAAAAAAGAAUUUGCAUAUUCAAAGACUCUGUAGUUUAUUGUUUAUUUGUACGUCUUGAGAAAUUUUCACUCAUAUGGGGAUGCCAACAUUUGUCGGUGGAGAGCUGCAAAUUUUGUCCUUUACUUGGCACACAUGGCUAAUUGAGCAAUGAGGGAUCUUUUUGGUACUAGCACCUACUGCAACACAGGACCUCUGUAUAUACAGUCUCUUCUAUGUCUGACUGUGGGAUUUCGAACCAGCAAUUUAUGGAUCAACUCCUUACUCUUGACUCUCGAGCAGAUGCUCUUGCCACUGUGCCAUGCAGGUGACUUCAUAGGUUAUAAAAUGAUAAGAUUUAUAACUUAAAACUGAUUUUUUUUAAUUCAAUCACAGUAUAGAAAAUGUUUGCGAAAAAGGGAGGUAAUAGCUACCUGUAGCUCUCACUGGUAUUGCAUGCUUAAACUAUAUGAAUUACAUAUUGUAAUUACACAUGUAUUUUAAACCAGAUCAGUAAAGAAAGAAACACUUGAAUAUUUUUACCAUGAAUUUUAUUAUAAGGUUGAUUAUCUUUAAAAAUGGAAGUAUAAUUUUUUUUUGAGUAGGAAAAAAAAAUAUUUAGAAUGUACAUGUGCACUUAAUUUUGUUUAUUAAAAAUAGUCAAAAUUUGGAGAUCUUGUGAAGGGGAUCUAAAUAUUGAUAUAUAAAUUUUUACUUCAUUUUUAAACAGCAUAAUCUUUAUUAUAACAUAUGCCUGUAAUAUACAACUUAUUUGUUGUUGAACAUUCCAUUGUCUGUCUACAUGUAGU